AUGAAUCCAAAUCUUUGAUAACUCAAGAACAGGUGAACGUGGAGAGUUCCAACUUACCAUGGAAAUAAUCUUUUUGGAAAUGCUAGGGUUAAAAUGUUGAUUUUGAGUUAAUGAAGUGUUGUGACUGUUUAAAGAACGCUGUUUGGAGCAUCAGCCAUGGGAAAUCUCUUCCCAAUACACACUUAUACUGUGCAACUGUCCAAAGGCCUGAUCAUGACAUGCCCCAAACUCCUAUCAUAGGUGUGGAUCGAAUGUAAUCAGUACACAUAUGCAUACACCGCAUGUAAGUGCAGUUUUCCCAAAUUGCUAGGACACUGUGACGGAACUAGCCAGGGAGCAGGCACUUUGUUUCCUUUUCCUCUUUAUCCCUUUAAAAAAUAAUCCUAGGAAAUGAAAUGCAAGACCUGUAUUAAUGCAAUGCUAAAACUGCACAAUUA
Long non-coding RNA from Chelonia mydas (Green sea turtle), 437 nucleotides. RefSeq lists it as uncharacterized. The transcript is spliced from 3 exons. The record is from RefSeq and is a predicted model, not a curated record. Lineage: Eukaryota; Metazoa; Chordata; Testudines; Cheloniidae.